GCGCAUGCGCACUCCAACACAUGCACUGUCAGACACGUGUAGGAAAUAAAUGCACCUACAGGCCAAUUGGGCAUUGCACAUAGGAUAACACCCGUAAAUGGACUGAAAAAACAGGCCUUGAUUUGUAGGUUGGCUAUCUAUCCAUCCAUAUAUCCGUCUGUCCAUUCAAAUCUAUCUAUCUAUCUAUCUAAAUCGUAUCGUAUAUUUCAUUUAUCUUUCCCAUCCAUCCAUCUCUUUAAGUUAUAUGUAUCUAUCUUUCUAUUAAAUUUUGCUUAUUCCCUCCUUUCAUUAUAUUUAAGGGUCCACAGUACAAUCAUAUGGCAACGACUGUGGUGUGUUUAUGUUGAUGAUAAGAUGUACAUUAUGUUUGUAGUUAAUAUUAUAUUGUUUUGCCAUAAUACUGACGUCUCUUUCAUUUAUAGUCUGCAUUGUACAUUGUGCUGGAUGCCCCAUUUGACUACACAAUUGUAAGUAUUAGUACAGUUUUUUAGUUACACUUUUUGAGACAAAGGGCAUUGACUUUUAUGUUUUGAGCAGCAGGACAUGGUAGAGCUGAGGAAAUGGUGGUGCAUCAUGUUAAUGGAGAACUUUGGACUGGACCGGUAUGGAAUUUUUUGUAUUUUGAAUAUUUAAAGCUUUUAUGAGAAAGGAAUUAUCUAACAUUCAAUUUUCAAUCACUAUUUCCCAGUCAUGUGUGGCCUGUGGGUUUGAGGCACUCUUUUCUCUGUCUCUCAUCUCCCUCUUUCUUCGCCCCCGCUCACUUUCACUCCUCCUCGUAUCGCUACGUCAUCUAAUGUGGGUGGGAGAGGUCGGUAAUUGUUAACAGGUGUAUAUAUACCUGUUGUCCUCAUCCUGCAGGAGCGACGGAAGUUAGCUGCUAACGUGUUGGAGGCAGCAGUGUUCCGGGAUGUGUUGGUAGCGCAAGGGGUUGCAUAGUGAUUGCCAACGGCACUACUGUUUGUGUGUGUGCGCUUCCGAAACGCGUAUGGAAUGUCUGGACUGACGAGCACAGAGGAGCAUUUGUGACGGUCUGGUCCAAGGGGUGGCGUAGUCACCACUGCUAUAGCCGUCAGAGGCUACACAUGGAAAAUUGUUUGCCCACUAUACAGAGGAGUCUAAAGCCUUCCUAAGAGGUGAUCAGCAGCCUGUAUUUAGGUUGCAAAAAAGGAAGUUGGAAGAAAUCUCUCAGGAAGAGCCUUUUGACGGACAAGUAACUUCUCAGGGUAGAUGAAACCAAUCUUUUCAUCUGUGAGUUUGCAUCGGAGAAGCAGGUGUCCACGAAAAAGCGUGUCAUGACGGAUCUUACAAACUGCCAGUCAGUGGGGCUUGGAGAACUCUGGGGAUCUUCUUUGCUCAGUUCAGCUUCCACUUAUAAUGUGCAUGGAGGAUGAUGAAGCUGCAGAGGCCUUGGAACAGUUCUUCAGUACAGAUUUCAUAGAGCAUGAUAGUGUAGAGCCUCUGAUGUUUGUUUUUACUUUUAUGCAGGAUCUCUUUUUUGAGAAUGUGGUGGACAAAAUGCAUCUAAGAGUCUUUUGUCGAGUA
Long non-coding RNA from Triplophysa dalaica, 1542 nucleotides. RefSeq lists it as uncharacterized. The record is from RefSeq and is a predicted model, not a curated record. Lineage: Eukaryota; Metazoa; Chordata; Actinopteri; Cypriniformes; Nemacheilidae. The transcript is spliced from 6 exons.